AGAUCUAGCUUGCUAGAUGCUGACGAGCGGCGGACGGGUGAGUAAUGCAUAGGAAUCUGCCCGAUAGUGGGGGAUAACCUGGGGAAACCCAGGCUAAUACCGCAUACGUCCUACGGGAGAAAGGGGGCUCCGGCUCCCGCUAUGGGAUGAGCCUAUGUCGGAUUAGCUAGUUGGUGAGGUAACGGCUCACCAAGGCCACGAUCCGUAGCUGGUCUGAGAGGAUGAUCAGCCACAUCGGGACUGAGACACGGCCCGAACUCCUACGGGAGGCAGCAGUGGGGAAUAUUGGACAAUGGGGGCAAGCCUGAUCCAGCCAUGCCGCGUGUGUGAAGAAGGCCCUCGGGUUGUAAAGCACUUUCAGCGAGGAAGAACGCCUAGCGGUUAAUACCCGCUAGGAAAGACAUCACUCGCAGAAGAAGCACCGGCUAACUCCGUGCCAGCAGCCGCGGUAAUACGGAGGGUGCAAGCGUUAAUCGGAAUUACUGGGCGUAAAGCGCGCGUAGGUGGCUUGAUAAGCCGGUUGUGAAAGCCCCGGGCUCAACCUGGGAACGGCAUCCGGAACUGUCAAGCUAGAGUGCAGGAGAGGAAGGUAGAAUUCCCGGUGUAGCGGUGAAAUGCGUAGAGAUCGGGAGGAAUACCAGUGGCGAAGGCGGCCUUCUGGACUGACACUGACACUGAGGUGCGAAAGCGUGGGUAGCAAACAGGAUUAGAUACCCUGGUAGUCCACGCCGUAAACGAUGUCGACCAGCC
RNAcentral lists this ribosomal RNA (750 nucleotides) under bacterium LAM7. RNAcentral's name for it is "bacterial SSU rRNA". It matches the Rfam family "Bacterial small subunit ribosomal RNA", at positions 71 to 821 of the family's 1533-position model. The record is from RNAcentral.